UAAUCAAUGUGCAUUUUUUUGAUUUCRCAGUAAAYAACAGACUAGAUAAGAUAAGAARAGCACAGGAGAAGAUACUUCGAGGCCAAUCAGGUCUACAGCAAAGAGCGGUUGCCAUGCAACAAGAUAUGCAAGAUCACAAGCAGGAUCUAAUGCAAGGACAAGAGGUCAUGAUGCAGUGCCUACAACAUGGACAAGAAGCAAUCAAGAAAGAUAUACAAGAUCUCAAAGGACUGCAAAAUGCACAUGGGCAAACAAAUCCCUCAAAUUUGUCAGGUAAGAUCGUGCAGUAAGAAUACAAUUUUUUUUUGUUAAAUUCUAAUGGUAUUUGUACUGAAAAUCAGUUAAUUUUGUUUUUAUCAAAAAUGUAAAUUUUGUCGUUCUUAUAACUUUAUUCUGUAUUGUGAGAAAUUUUAGUGUGAAAUAUACAAGAAUCGAUAAUUCUAUGAUGUCAUCAAUUGAAAGAAUUGUGUCAAGUUUUUGAGAAUACGUUUCAGAAUUUAAGAAAUUUAUUAAAAACUUAUUGCUCAAGAUAAAGAAACAUUGAAAGGCUUACUCAAAUUUGUAAUUUGGCCAUUUUCAGAGGAGUAGUACUUUAACUUUAUAGUACAAACAACACUAAUAAAGAAAUCAAUCCGUUUGA
Molecule: long non-coding RNA, 640 nt
Organism: Exaiptasia diaphana
Lineage: Eukaryota; Metazoa; Cnidaria; Anthozoa; Actiniaria; Aiptasiidae
Exons: 3
Source: RefSeq, a predicted model, not a curated record